This 106-nucleotide small nuclear RNA is filed under the name Ursus maritimus (polar bear). The record is from RNAcentral. Lineage: Eukaryota; Metazoa; Chordata; Mammalia; Carnivora; Ursidae.
GUGCUUGCUUUGGCAGCACAUAUAGUAAAAUUGGAACGAUACAAGGAAGAUUAGCAUCCCCUUGCACAAGGAUGGCAUGCAAAUUCAUGAAGUAUUAUGUAUUCUU